RNAcentral lists this transfer RNA (72 nucleotides) under Salmo salar (Atlantic salmon). It matches the Rfam family "tRNA". Rfam says of the family: Transfer RNA (tRNA) molecules are approximately 80 nucleotides in length. Their secondary structure includes four short double-helical elements and three loops (D, anti-codon, and T loops). Lineage: Eukaryota; Metazoa; Chordata; Actinopteri; Salmoniformes; Salmonidae. The record is from Rfam by way of RNAcentral.
UCCCGUGUGGCUCAGUUGGUAGAGCAUGGUGUUUACAACGCCAGGGUUGUGGAUUCGAUUCCCACGGGGGAU